Molecule: transfer RNA, 66 nt
Filed under: Melanitis leda
Lineage: Eukaryota; Metazoa; Arthropoda; Insecta; Lepidoptera; Nymphalidae
Also listed under: 1 other name
Description: tRNA-His
Source: RNAcentral
AUUUAAAUAAUUUAAGUAAAAAUAUUGAUUUGUGGAAUCAAAUUUAUGAUAGGUUCAUUUUAAAUC